UUAAGUUAUUAAGGGCGCACGGUGGAUGCCUUGGCACUAGAAGCCGAUGAAGGACGUUACUAACGACGAUAUGCUUUGGGGAGCUGUAAGUAAGCUUUGAUCCAGAGAUUUCCGAAUGGGGAAACCCAGCAUGAGUUAUGUCAUGUUAUCGAUAUGUGAAUACAUAGCAUAUCAGAAGGCACACCCGGAGAACUGAAACAUCUUAGUACCCGGAGGAAGAGAAAGAAAAUUCGAUUCCCUUAGUAGCGGCGAGCGAAACGGGAAGAGCCCAAACCAACAAGCUUGCUUGUUGGGGUUGUAGGACACUCUAUACGGAGUUACAAAGGACGACAUUAGACGAAUCAUCUGGAAAGAUGAAUCAAAGAAGGUAAUAAUCCUGUAGUCGAAAAUGUUGUCUCUCUUGAGUGGAUCCUGAGUACGACGGAGCACGUGAAAUUCCGUCGGAAUCUGGGAGGACCAUCUCCUAAGGCUAAAUACUCUCUAGUGACCGAUAGUGAACCAGUACCGUGAGGGAAAGGUGAAAAGCACCCCGGAAGGGGAGUGAAAUAGAACCUGAAACCGUGUGCUUACAAGUAGUCAGAGCCCGUUAAUGGGUGAUGGCGUGCCUUUUGUAGAAUGAACCGGCGAGUUACGAUUUGAUGCAAGGUUAAGCAGUAAAUGUGGAGCCGUAGCGAAAGCGAGUCUGAAUAGGGCGUUUAGUAUUUGGUCGUAGACCCGAAACCAGGUGAUCUACCCUUGGUCAGGUUGAAGUUCAGGUAACACUGAAUGGAGGACCGAACCGACUUACGUUGAAAAGUGAGCGGAUGAACUGAGGGUAGCGGAGAAAUUCCAAUCGAACCUGGAGAUAGCUGGUUCUCUCCGAAAUAGCUUUAGGGCUAGCCUCAAGUGAUGAUUAUUGGAGGUAGAGCACUGUUUGGACGAGGGGCCCCUCUCGGGUUACCGAAUUCAGACAAACUCCGAAUGCCAAUUAAUUUAACUUGGGAGUCAGAACAUGGGUGAUAAGGUCCGUGUUCGAAAGGGAAACAGCCCAGACCACCAGCUAAGGUCCCAAAAUAUAUGUUAAGUGGAAAAGGAUGUGGCGUUGCCCAGACAACUAGGAUGUUGGCUUAGAAGCAGCCAUCAUUUAAAGAGUGCGUAAUAGCUCACUAGUCGAGUGACACUGCGCCGAAAAUGUACCGGGGCUAAACAUAUUACCGAAGCUGUGGAUUGUCCUUUGGACAAUGGUAGGAGAGCGUUCUAAGGGCGUUGAAGCAUGAUCGUAAGGACAUGUGGAGCGCUUAGAAGUGAGAAUGCCGGUGUGAGUAGCGAAAGACGGGUGAGAAUCCCGUCCACCGAUUGACUAAGGUUUCCAGAGGAAGGCUCGUCCGCUCUGGGUUAGUCGGGUCCUAAGCUGAGGCCGACAGGCGUAGGCGAUGGAUAACAGGUUGAUAUUCCUGUACCACCUAUAAUCGUUUUAAUCGAUGGGGGGACGCAGUAGGAUAGGCGAAGCGUGCGAUUGGAUUGCACGUCUAAGCAGUAAGGCUGAGUAUUAGGCAAAUCCGGUACUCGUUAAGGCUGAGCUGUGAUGGGGAGAAGACAUUGUGUCUUCGAGUCGUUGAUUUCACACUGCCGAGAAAAGCCUCUAGAUAGAAAAUAGGUGCCCGUACCGCAAACCGACACAGGUAGUCAAGAUGAGAAUUCUAAGGUGAGCGAGCGAACUCUCGUUAAGGAACUCGGCAAAAUGACCCCGUAACUUCGGGAGAAGGGGUGCUCUUUAGGGUUAACGCCCAGAAGAGCCGCAGUGAAUAGGCCCAAGCGACUGUUUAUCAAAAACACAGGUCUCUGCUAAACCGUAAGGUGAUGUAUAGGGGCUGACGCCUGCCCGGUGCUGGAAGGUUAAGAGGAGUGGUUAGCUUCUGCGAAGCUACGAAUCGAAGCCCCAGUAAACGGCGGCCGUAACUAUAACGGUCCUAAGGUAGCGAAAUUCCUUGUCGGGUAAGUUCCGACCCGCACGAAAGGCGUAACGAUUUGGGCACUGUCUCAACGAGAGACUCGGUGAAAUCAUAGUACCUGUGAAGAUGCAGGUUACCCGCGACAGGACGGAAAGACCCCGUGGAGCUUUACUGUAGCCUGAUAUUGAAAUUCGGCACAGCUUGUACAGGAUAGGUAGGAGCCUUUGAAACGUGAGCGCUAGCUUACGUGGAGGCGCUGGUGGGAUACUACCCUAGCUGUGUUGGCUUUCUAACCCGCACCACUUAUCGUGGUGGGAGACAGUGUCAGGCGGGCAGUUUGACUGGGGCGGUCGCCUCCUAAAAGGUAACGGAGGCGCUCAAAGGUUCCCUCAGAAUGG
Molecule: ribosomal RNA, 2329 nt
Filed under: Staphylococcus aureus
Lineage: Bacteria; Bacillati; Bacillota; Bacilli; Caryophanales; Staphylococcaceae
Description: bacterial LSU rRNA
Rfam family: Bacterial large subunit ribosomal RNA
Source: RNAcentral